RNAcentral lists this long non-coding RNA (230 nucleotides) under Citrus maxima (pomelo). RNAcentral describes it as "long non-coding RNA (CMAX_LNC003093)". The record is from RNAcentral. Lineage: Eukaryota; Viridiplantae; Streptophyta; Magnoliopsida; Sapindales; Rutaceae.
CAAGAUCCUCAAAAGAUCAGCACCGUUCAAAUCAGAAACGGAUCCAAAAAAAUCCAGUAUGCUAGCUGCUUGCCAACAGAUUUAGGAAAACCAAACAAAUCUAUGGUGGAUUCUUUUCUGAGCAGUAAGACGGUGGUAGCGUAGGCCUUUGAGUUGCCUUUUAAAUAAGGUGUACAUUAUGCUUCUCACUGAAAUUGGAGAACUCUAAAAACAUGUGAAUCACCUUGUAC